AGAAUAUAUUGAAGUCAUGUCACUAAAACAGAAAUGACACAGUGAAGACACACAUGGUUCCAGUAGAAGGACGACACGGACAUUCAUGACGUGUUCCACACAUGU
RNAcentral lists this small nuclear RNA (105 nucleotides) under Chinchilla lanigera (long-tailed chinchilla). Lineage: Eukaryota; Metazoa; Chordata; Mammalia; Rodentia; Chinchillidae. The record is from RNAcentral.